CAACUCCAAGACCAAGUCAGUAGCACUGCAGGUGUCUGGUGGUCAGAUACUUAAGUACCUUUGGGAAUCACCCUCUCUGGCUGUUGAACCAUAGAAGAAACCUGGUGGAUUUCCUGUUCGAUUUCCUUAUCCGUGCACCCAGACCAAAUUGGCCAUGAUUGGAGAAUAGGAAUGUGUCCUUGGUCUGACUGACAGAUGUCGCUUUUUCAUCAAUGACACUGAGGUAACAAGGCUUCUUCGGACACUGGAUCUUUCUCAGUCUUAGCUCCAAAUAAUAUAGCUGACUCUCCCCUUUACUCCCUGACCUUUAGUAGGUUGCUUCAAAUAUCACAUCAUUUGCAGUAUAUGAUGAGUUUAUAUUUUUAUCGACUCAUUCCCAUACAUGCCAGUGUUUUUG
Long non-coding RNA from Physeter macrocephalus (sperm whale), 397 nucleotides. RefSeq lists it as uncharacterized. NCBI's taxonomy places the organism in Eukaryota, Metazoa, Chordata, Mammalia, Artiodactyla, Physeteridae. The transcript is spliced from 3 exons. The record is from RefSeq and is a predicted model, not a curated record.